RNAcentral lists this small RNA (156 nucleotides) under Trichococcus sp. Lineage: Bacteria; Bacillati; Bacillota; Bacilli; Lactobacillales; Carnobacteriaceae. The record is from RNAcentral.
AAAACCAUUCAAAGACACUUGGAAUUUGGAAGUUUGGUGAAAAUCCAACGCGGUCCCGCCACUGUGAUGACGUCAUGUGCGUCUUAGUCAGGUCUUUAUUCCAAGCUGCUAUUUAUUGCAAACGAACCGUUUCGAGGUAAAACGGACCCGUUACUU